CUGAGUCGAGUCAUCUCCAUCCCCGCUGAAGUCACCGGCACUGAGAAUGCUUAGAAUUGCACUGAAGCUGCUUCGAACCCCCCACAAUCCAGGCUCUUUUUGAUGGUAGUGGGAGUUUGGUCUCAGUAAGGAGAGAUAGCUGGCUUCUACACAUCUUAUACUUUGGAAGAAAUAUAAACCCUCAUGCUUCAGGACAUGAGACAACUUCUGAUUGAGCAGGUGCUUAAAUAAAUGGCCUGGUUUUGAAGUACCUAGGAGAUGCCAUGGUACAUCUGCUGGGUGGCCAGUAUUUCUGAAGUUCAGACAAUCAAUCAUGAG
Molecule: long non-coding RNA, 318 nt
Organism: Alligator sinensis (Chinese alligator)
Lineage: Eukaryota; Metazoa; Chordata; Crocodylia; Alligatoridae
Exons: 3
Source: RefSeq, a predicted model, not a curated record